RNAcentral lists this non-coding RNA (936 nucleotides) under Pan troglodytes (chimpanzee). The record is from RNAcentral. Lineage: Eukaryota; Metazoa; Chordata; Mammalia; Primates; Hominidae.
CAGCCCGCAAGACCUCGCCGCCUGCCCAGCUCUGUCAUUGACUAAGGUUGCUUUUGUCAGUACAGCCGCCAGGGGUUUCCACGCUCAUUCCCCUCCGGACAAGGUGGACAGCUUUGGUGAUAGACAACUGGGAGGUAAAACUCCACAGAGCCAUGCCAGCGACUGACCGCCCAGGGACAGGAGAUGGAGACGUUCAGCUGCAAAGGCUACGGAGGAACCCCCGCAAUUGGAAUCUCUCCAUGCCUUCUGCAGCAUGGAACAUACUCCGGGACCUACCGGGGCUCUCUCGGGCCACCUCUGAGUGCAAGGGAAAAGAGUGCAGUUCAAGGAAGGGAAUGUGUCUGUCAUCCCACCACUUGCGCGCAAGGCCAGUUCCGGGAUCAGCAGGCUUCCUUCACCAGCACGGGCUCUUCAUUAGCAACCACUGGGAGGGAAUGUGUGCGGAGUCAUGUCAAGAUGGGAAGGCACAUGUUCCCAUCUUGACAGCAGCAGAAAGAAAAAUGGCAGCAGAAGGAAAACAGCAGCAGAAAGAAAAAUUUGACUCAGAUGGGUUGAGAGGGCAAUGGCAAGCAAUCUUGGUACAUGUCAGCUGCAUCUCAGAGUCUCGCUUUGUUGCCCAGGCAGUGGCAUGAUCUUGGCUCACUCCAAACUCCACCUCCUGAGUUCAAGCAAUUCUCCUGCCUCAGCCUCCCGAGCAGCUGGAAUUACAGAUGCCUGCCACCACAGCUGUCUAAUUUCUUGGUUUUUGUUUUUGUUUUUGAGAUGGAGUUUCGCUCUUGUCACCCAGGCUGGAGUGCCAUGGUGCAAUCUCAGCUCACUGCAACCUCUGCCUCCCAGGUUCAAGUGAUUCUCAGGCUUCAGCCUCCCAAGUAGCUAGGAUUACAGGCGUGCGCCACCACACCUGGCUAAUUUUUUUGUAUUUUUAGUAGAGAUGGG